UACGGAGGGUGCAAACGUUGCUCGGAAUCAUUGGGCGUAAAGCGCACGUAGGCGGCCUGUUAAGUCGGAUGUGAAAGCCCCGGGCUCAACCCGGGAAGUGCAUUCGAAACUGGCGGGCUUGAAUAUGGAAGAGGGUCGCGGAAUUCCCGGUGUAGAGGUGAAAUUCGUAGAUAUCGGGAGGAACACCAGUGGCGAAGGCGGCGACCUGGGCCAAUAUUGACGCUGAGGUGCGAAAGCGUGGGGAGCAAACAGG
Molecule: ribosomal RNA, 253 nt
Filed under: uncultured bacterium
Lineage: Bacteria
Description: partial 16S ribosomal RNA
Rfam family: Bacterial small subunit ribosomal RNA
Source: RNAcentral